This 518-nucleotide ribosomal RNA is filed under the name uncultured bacterium. RNAcentral describes it as "bacterial SSU rRNA". It matches the Rfam family "Bacterial small subunit ribosomal RNA", at positions 8 to 518 of the family's 1533-position model. The record is from RNAcentral.
AGAGUUUGAUCCUGGCUUAGGAUGAACGCUGGCGGCGUGCCUAAUACAUGCAAGUCGUACGAGGGAAGUCCAGCUUGCUGGACGGAACGAGUGGCGAACGGGUGAGUAAUACGUAAGCAACCUGCCUGCAAGGACUGGGAUAACACCUGGAAACGGGCGCUAAUACCGGAUAGGUAACAAAGGGGCAUCCCUAUGUUAUUAAAGGUUAGAAACACAAGCAGAUGGGCUUACGGUGCAUUAGCUAGUUGGUGAGGUAACGGCCCACCAAGGCGAUGAUGCAUAGCCGGCCUGAGAGGGUGAACGGCCACAUUGGGACUGAGACACGGCCCAGACUCCUACGGGAGGCAGCAGUAGGGAAUUUUCGGCAAUGGACGAAAGUCUGACCGAGCAACGCCGCCGUGAGUGAAGAAGGUUUUCGGAUUGUAAAGCUCUGUUGUAAGGGAAGAACAGCACGGAAAGAAUCCGUGAAUGACGGUACCUUACCAGAAAGCCACGGCUAACUACGUGCCAGCCGCCGC